UACGUAGGGUGCAAGCGUUGUCCGGAAUUAUUGGGCGUAAAGAGCUCGUAGGCGGUCUGUCACGUCGGCUGUGAAAACCCGAGGCUCAACCUCGGGCCUGCAGUCGAUACGGGCAAACUAGAGUACUGCAGGGGAGACUGGAAUUCCUGGUGUAGCGGUGAAAUGCGCAGAUAUCAGGAGGAACACCGGUGGCGAAGGCGGGGUCUCUGGGGCAGUAACUGACGCUGGAGGAGCGAAAAGCGUGGGGGAGCGAACAGG
RNAcentral lists this ribosomal RNA (258 nucleotides) under uncultured bacterium. RNAcentral's name for it is "partial 16S ribosomal RNA". It matches the Rfam family "Bacterial small subunit ribosomal RNA", at positions 524 to 776 of the family's 1533-position model. The record is from RNAcentral.